UUUACAGUAACAUUCUUCUCAUUCUGUGCUGGUAUAAAGUGAGUUAAAGUGAGCUUACCUGUAUGAAGGUUAAUGUCAGAUAAAGAACUACAGUUACAGAAGUAAAGACUGUGUGAAAGAAGAGGGGAAAAAGAAAAUGUGUGUG
Long non-coding RNA from Etheostoma spectabile (orangethroat darter), 145 nucleotides. RefSeq lists it as uncharacterized. The transcript has 3 exons. The record is from RefSeq and is a predicted model, not a curated record. Lineage: Eukaryota; Metazoa; Chordata; Actinopteri; Perciformes; Percidae.